This 1243-nucleotide ribosomal RNA is filed under the name metagenome. RNAcentral describes it as "bacterial LSU rRNA". It matches the Rfam family "Bacterial large subunit ribosomal RNA", at positions 1564 to 2817 of the family's 2925-position model. The record is from RNAcentral.
UGAAUACGAGAUGCUACGGCGUCGAAGCAGUCUAUGUCAUACUUCCAAGAAAAGCUUGCACUGUCAUAAACAAAUAAUGCCUGUACCAUAACCGACACAGGUGGGUAGGUAGAGUAUACUAAGGGGCGCGAGAUAACUCUCUCUAAGGAACUCGGCAAAAUGACUCCGUAACUUCGGGAGAAGGAGUGCCUUAUUUAUAAGGUUGCAAUAACAAGACCCAAGCAACUGUUUAUCAAAAACACAGGUCUCCGCUAAGUCGUAAGACGAUGUAUGGGGGCUGACGCCUGCCCAGUGCCAGAAGGUUAAAGAAGUUGGUUAGCAUUAGCGAAGCUGAUGACUGACCCCCUGGUGAACGGCGGCCGUAACUAUAACGGUCCUAAGGUAGCGAAAUUCCUUGUCGGGUAAGUUCCGACCCGCACGAAAGGCGUAAUGAUUUGGGUACUGUCUCAGAGAGGGACUCGGUGAAAUAGACUUGUCUGUGAAGAUGCGGACUACCUGCACCUGGACAGAAAGACCCUAUGAAGCUUUACUGUAACCUGAAAUUGAAAUUGGACUUUAUUUGCGCAGUAUAGGUGGGAGGCUUUGAAGAUAUUCUUGCGGGAAUGUUGGAGCCAUCAGUGAGAUACCACUCUUGUAAUGUUAGAUUUCUAACUUUGUAUCAUUAUCUGGUCAAAGAACAGUUUCAGGCGGGCAGUUUGACUGGGGCGGUCGCCUCCUAAACGGUAACGGAGGCGCACAAAGGUUUCCUCUGAACGGGUAGAAAUCGUAUCUAGAGUGUAAAGGCAUAAGGAAGCUUGACUGUGAGACCUACAAGUCGAGCAGGGACGAAAGUCGGUCUUAGUGAUCUGACGGUGCUGAGUGGAAAGGCCGUCACUCAACGGAUAAAAGUUACUCUAGGAUAACAGGCUGAUCUCCCCCAAGAGUUCACAUCGACGGGGAGGUUUGGCACCUCGAUGUCGGCUCAUCGCAUCCUGGGGCGGUAGUACGUCCCAAGGGUUGGGCUGUUCGCCCAUGAAAGCGGUACGCGAGCUGGGUUCAGAACGUCGUGAGACAGUUCGGUCCAUAUCCGGUGUAGGCGUUAGAAUAUUGAGAGGAGCCUUCUCUAGUACGAGAGGACCGAGAAGGACACACCUCUGGUGUACCAGUUAUCGUGCCAACGGUAAACGCUGGGUAGCUAUGUGUGGAGCGGAUAACCGCCGAAAGCAUCAAAGUGGGAAGCCCACCUCAAGAUAAGUAUUCUCAU